RNAcentral lists this unclassified non-coding RNA (898 nucleotides) under Hevea brasiliensis (rubber tree). Lineage: Eukaryota; Viridiplantae; Streptophyta; Magnoliopsida; Malpighiales; Euphorbiaceae. The record is from RNAcentral.
GUUUAUUCCAUGAAGUUAAUUACACUGUGAAUAACGAUUAUUUGGGUGGUAGGUUAAUUCAUGCGGCUAGAUACAAAUGAGGUUUAUAGAAGCAGAGGUAAGAAUGAUGCAAGAUGUUAUCCAAAUAAUAUUGAAUGGAUCAGCUCAAGUUUCUCCUGGCUUGUGAAUGAUGCUGUAAGAUGGAUGCCUUGUAGUUGCCAGGUCAUGUAAAAGGUGUCUUACAGAUGUCUUAAACUAGUCCGUCAAGAUUGCAGUCUUUAUACACCAGUGAUGAAAGGCUAUCUUUUUUCUCUGAUAGUUGAGAGGAAGCUAGUACAUCUCUAGUUAGCCUCAAGGAUCUGGCAUGAGUGAUACAACAACAAUAAGAACCAAGUACCCAGUGUACGCAGACCAUACACCCCCUACCUUGAGUGAUGGAGACGACAAAUCGGACAUGAGUAAGCUUCAGCUGUGACAUUCAAAGAUGAUGUAUACCAAGUUCAACAGCUCUGCUGAAAAGUCAUGUUCAAGGUAAGAGAUAGAAAUAUAUUUCGAGUAUCCUUGUCUCUCUUAACAAAUAAGAAAGGCAAUACAGAGACAUGUUCCAAGCAGUUUUUCCAUUUGCAAGAAAGUUUUUUUCAGGCUUUUCCUCCAAUGAAUUGGUUGAAGUGCAACACGGAUGGAUGAUACAUGUCCAAGAAUUCCUCAGAAAAGUUCUUGUGGCUUUUUUAUAUGCUGAGGCGUCAAGUAAUCUUAUCUAUGCCCAUAACAACAACAUAUCCAAUGUAAUUCCACGAGUAGGGUUUGGGAAUGCUAGAAUGUUCACAGACCUUACCGCUGCCUUUGUGGGGAUUAAUAGAGGCUGUUUAAUGAUCUUAUUUAUCUAUGCACACGCCCCGAGGAAAUUCAUGCUACUACA